UGUCUCUCUCAUGCUCUCUUUUAGAAGAAAAGUUUUACCUGUAAGUUAGGCCUUUAAAAAAAAACUCUACAACUCGUGAUUUUCAGUGACAUACUUCAUGUCUCUGUCUUGUGUUUUCUUAACUUCACUCGUGGUGUCUUGACUACUAUAGACCAAUGUUUAAAUUGGCAGCUUUGAGGGGUUUUUUCCUCCCCAUAGACAUAAAAACAAUGAUUUUAGAAU
This 222-nucleotide long non-coding RNA is filed under the name Bos taurus (domestic cattle). RNAcentral describes it as "long non-coding RNA NONBTAT024442". Lineage: Eukaryota; Metazoa; Chordata; Mammalia; Artiodactyla; Bovidae. The record is from RNAcentral.